ACAGGUGGUGCAUGGUUGUCGUCAGCUCGUGUCGUGAGAUGUUGGGUUAAGUCCCGCAACGAGCGCAACCCUUGAUUUUAGUUGCCAGCAUUUAGUUGGGCACUCUAAAGUGACUGCCGGUGCAAGCCGGAGGAAGGUGGGGAUGACGUCAAAUCAUCAUGCCCCUUAUGACCUGGGCUACACACGUGCUACAAUGGAUAGUACAAAGGGUCGCGAAGCCGCGAGGUGGAGCUAAUCCCAUAAAACUAUUCUCAGUUCGGAUUGUAGGCUGCAACUCGCCUACAUGAAGCCGGAAUCGCUAGUAAUCGUGGAUCAGCAUGCCACGGUGAAUACGUUCCCGGGCCUUGUACACACCGCCCGUCACACCACGAGAGUUUGUAACACCCGAAGUCGGUAGGGUAACCU
RNAcentral lists this ribosomal RNA (405 nucleotides) under Listeria monocytogenes. Its description in RNAcentral is "bacterial SSU rRNA". It matches the Rfam family "Bacterial small subunit ribosomal RNA", at positions 1034 to 1441 of the family's 1533-position model. Lineage: Bacteria; Bacillati; Bacillota; Bacilli; Caryophanales; Listeriaceae. The record is from RNAcentral.